RNAcentral lists this ribosomal RNA (252 nucleotides) under uncultured prokaryote. RNAcentral's name for it is "partial 16S ribosomal RNA". It matches the Rfam family "Bacterial small subunit ribosomal RNA", at positions 523 to 774 of the family's 1533-position model. The record is from RNAcentral.
AUACGUAGGGUGCAAGCGUUGUCCGGAAUUAUUGGGCGUAAAGAGCUCGUAGGCGGUUUGUCGCGUCUGCUGUGAAAUCCCGAGGCUCAACCUCGGGCUUGCAGUGGGUACGGGCAGACUAGAGUGCGGUAGGGGAGAUUAGAAUUCCUGGUGUAGCGGUGGAAUGCGCAGAUAUCAGGAGGAACACCGAUGGCGAAGGCAGAUCUCUGGGCCGUAACUGACGCUGAGGAGCGAAAGCGUGGGGAGCAAACA